CUGUAUUCGGACUUGCACACCCCGGGGAGGUAUGGCAGGGUGAUUCUCCUCUCCAAACCCGGAGGCAAUAUUUUGCAUCAGGCUGAUGUGAUCCUGCAGAUCCACCGAGCCGUGCUGGAAAUGAAGUGCUAGAGGAUCUGAGGCAGGCUGCCCUCUCCAAUAAGACAACAGCCAGGGUGCAAGUGAGCUAUCCCAACACUAAAUUAAAGGUAUGCUCUUACUGCAUGCUUUUGCCAAUUAAAGAGGCAGCACUUCAUUUCUUGUCCUAAACAGCAAAGAGAAAUAUAAUCAUAUCUAUCUCUCUCUAUCGAAAUGUGUGUGAUCUGGGCUUUCCUCGUGAAGCAGCUGAAUCCGGUGCCUUGCUUUUGUUCUGGGCGAGGAGGGAGGGUGGGGAACUGGACGCUGCCGGAGCAGGAGAAGAAGGGAGCGGAGAAGAACCUGAGCACCGGCAGACCUUGCAAUGCCUCGAAGGUUCAAUUCAUGGGGGGAAAGGGACAGGAGGUCGGUGGGGGGUUGAGAACUGGUUUGCACUAUCACCUUUUCCAGCCUCACUGCUGUGGUGGAAUAAUUUGUCUUUAAUGUGGUCAGGAAAAGCUUUCCUCAAAGGCACAGUGAGGUCCUGUGUCUCCCUGCCCCUGCCAGUGCUGUAAGAGCAGCAGGAGGUUUGGGCCAGAAGCAAUUUCAGGUGUCCUGCCUUCUUAACCUGCAUGCAAAGAAGGUGAAGGGAAGUGGGAAUUUUUUUUUUUUUCUCUCUCAGUGUAAAAAUUAUUAACUCUGUCGCUGAUGGAUGGGCUGGACUUUUGGGUUGGAUCCCACCAGCUAGAGGCUUCCAGCAAAGUUGAAACAAGGUAAAAGGUGAAAGAAGUUUCAGUCCCCCCCAUUAAAAGAAUAAACAAUUUGGCACAAAUUGUCUCAGGACUAUUUCCCUGGCACACAAACACCCAUCUGCUUUCCUUCCCAUCUGGAGCAAUUCUGUUCACCAGGACUAACCUGCUGUGAGUAAAUAAGGUAAAAAGUUUGCAGGUAGCUCAUGAAAGAAGUUUUUGUGGAUUACAGUAUGCACCAGAGGCAGGAUUUAUUCAACAGAGUGUAACAAACUCCCUAGGACACUAUUUACUCACAGCUCAGGUCAUAGGGGAGAGGACAUGCUCCUCUUUGUAAACCAGAGAUCUCUGGGGUUAUCUCUUCCCUUUUUCAAAGAGUUCCUCGGGGGUAAGGGACAUGCUCUUGCAAGUACCACCACUAAGAUCCUGAAGUUACAAUUUAUUUCUUACUGUAGAUUUACCAGGAAAAGAUCCCAUAAAGUCAGUCCCUGUUACGAAAUCUGAAGCAGAGACAUAGAUUGAUUUUGUUUGAUUGUCUUUUUCCUUCAAUAAAAGUGCCAGGUGGAACAGCUUGGAUUUGGUCCCGUGGCUGUAGAUGUUACAGUAAUUGCUUUGUACAGAGUUGUGGCUGCCUGAGUGGAGUGUGUGAAAAUGAAAAGGUGUCCUUGCUGGAAAGUCCUGAGUGCAAAGAGUGAUCAGAAAAACAAGUUAUUCUGGAUUAAAUAUCCCUGGAUGAAUUUUAUCUUCUAGUGUGCCGCAAAGACAACCCCGCUACUGCAGAAUUAAAGUGAAUCCUUUACAUUUUGCUCAGUUUUAGAAUUAAAUUUAAGGUAGUUCAGUGGAUAACACUGAUAAUCUAGACUAACAGUGUUAUAAAGCAGCUUUAUAUAGAUAUAGUUGUGGUAGUAGUCCUACUCUCUCAAUCCAGGUUAAUUUUCUUCUCUAGACAAACCCUAACUGAUCUUAUCAAAACUAGGAUGCAAUCACUCGCAAUGUGGUUUUGUUUGUUUGUUUGUUUGUUUUUUCAUUAGAAGAUUGCCUACAGCUCCUCCUUUUUUAAAGAUAAAAGCAAAGGAAAAGAUAAUGUGGUCUGAAUUAGCUACAUAUUGGAUUGCCAGAUAAUUUGCACACAGAGAAAGGUUUUCCCAAAACAUAGAAGUCUAACUCUGAGCACUAACAAACACCAUCCCAGCACCUCCAAUCCCCCAAAGAGUUGUGUUUCAUCUUCUGGGUGAGGGAACAAGCACCCUUAAGUAGCUCAGUUUAAAACUGGACUGAGCAGGGAGCUUUCUGCCCUAUUGCCAGUGAAAGAAGAUCAAGCCAUCAAAGCCUGUGACUAAACUUCAGAGAAAAGCUAGCAAUUACAACCCAUUUCUGUGGGUCCUGCUUUUACUGAGAAAGAGAAAUACACUUUGCCACAAUUUUCCUUCUUCUUAUAUGUUAAGGACUCUAUUAUGGAUCUGUGGUCAGCCCUGAACCUGGGCUGGUCUUCAGUGAUGGUGUUUCUGCAGACACUCACCUUCUCUGGUCUCUUUGGCUCCAACUGCUGGGAUUAAAUUACUGUUUUGUAUAACUAAUUCACUAGUUUAUCUCUGUAAUCUUUGCUGUCCCAUCUACCAUGGGUUAGGAAGUUGAAGGGCAACAUCUCAUGAUCUCCUUCAAACCAUGGGCAAAAUCUUGGUUUAAUCCCAUCUCUCAAGCUGUUUAUUGACCUCCCUCACUUUGCUCCUGUGAGCAAAGGAUGUGAAAACUCAGGCCUGUAUUUCUUGCUUCAUAUUUUUUUUUAAACAGAAACAUCUCAGAUGCUGCACCCAUUUAGGUAGAUGAGUUUCUGGCUGUUCAGCAAAGGGAGAGAACCCCUGUGACUAUAGCUGUGAGGUUUUGUAUUUCUUCAUACUUGAGUUGUGACAUUAAGGAAAAGUUGUGGCUAAACCUCAUGGGACUGCAAACAAGAGGGCCAAAUCUGCCUGAUCUUAUUUAUUGUGAGCCAUUGCUCAUCACAUUCAGUGAUCCAUGCUCUUGGGAUUCUUCUCAGCUAAACUUUCCUGCACCAUUAUAACCCACCAGGAUCUUUUAGGCUGCCUCACUUCCCAAAGGUCAUGUUCCUUGGUUAAUACUGGUAGGUUUUGCUAUUUUAAUAAUAGCUUCAAAUUAAACAAAAUUCUUCUAAAAACAACAUGGGGAUUAAAAAUCAUGAAAGUGCCCCAUAUGUAUUUAGUUUACAGCUGACAUGGGUCAAGUGUCAAACUGGUCUGGGACACAAUGACAGUGUUGAGCUGUUCCACUUCUGCUCCAUCUAGGAGCUGCAAAAACAUCUUGUAGUUUAUUGUUUCCCUUAAGCCUUGUGAGAAACUUUUACUUUUUCCCUUCUCAUCUCCUGAUGGAAGCCAAAUCAGUUCAAACCUCUCAGGUGAGGCUGCCUGAAGGGUGUCAGGGGGUGAGUUCUUGGCAGGUUUCCCACAGGAACUUUGUGGGGACCACUCAAGCAGGUUUCAGCAAACUGCUCCAGUUUUGAAGCAGCUGUUAUCAGGCUGCAAAAUCUGAUGAAACUGCUUGGCUUUUCCUGAGGAAAUCUGGAUGUGAAGGAUAAUUGUUUAAUCAUUGCUUGCUGUAUUGUUGGAAGAACUUACAGCCCUAAAUAUUUCUACUAUCACUGUCCCUCCAUAAGUCAGGAACUUGGUUUCUCUACUCAUCAGAGAAGGAGCAGAGACACAACAUUCACACUCAGAGCACAGACUGCAGGGUGGUUUCAAAAGCCUGAGAUGGGUUUAAAAUCCACUCUGGCUACUUAGGGGUGAUUGUAGGCAAGUGCAGAUGAACCAGGCUGAAGGAAAAUGCCAGCUCUCCUUGCUUUGGGAGCACAGUAGUCUGCUCACUGCAGUCUGCAGCCCAGCCAGAGAGUGACUUGCCCAAGGUCAUGCAGAUAGACCGUGGCAAAGCAGGAAAACAAAGCUGGGUAUAUGAAGUCUUGAUGAAGACUUUUGAAAUACUUCCUGGAGAAACAUUGCUCAUGCUUUCCUCAGUUCAGGACAUAAAAAAAUGCUCCUGUGCUUGGGGUCUGGACUGUGCCCUAACUUGCACAGACUGGACAAAUCUGUGCUGAGCGCUCUCCAUCAGUCAUCAAACUGUUAAAUCUCAAGUUUUGGCAAAUAUCAGCAUUGUUUUGGUCAGCUGGGACUUCCAGAACAGUGACUGUGUGUGACUUGGGAGACAGCAUAGGAAAGAGUCCACUCCAGAUCAGUAAAUCCGCUCCAUUCUGCUGAUAAUGGUGUGUGGUGUUCUUAGAAGUGAGCACAUUGUGCCUCUGCCUCAGGGCCAGAAUGUGGUCUGAGGCACAGUUUAUUUGUUGGUAUAAACAGAAUUAUUGAUUACCUGAGGAUUACUUCUUGUGUACCAUGAAAUAUGAGGGAAGAGAUUGCUUUUUGACCCCGAUUCACCUAUAACCAAAGAAAAUUUUCUGUCCUAUUCCAGGAAAAGCCAAAAAAGCUCCAGAUAAAAAUAAUAGAAGUUAUUUCUGAACACAGUCUUUGUAUGGAAGGGAAAAAAAGAAAACUAUAAAAACUUUUUUUCAGGUAUUUCAUCUUUAUUGUUUCUUUGUUGCCUUUCAUGUUUAUUUGCUACUUUGUCUGAGAAAAGAUAAUAACUGAGAACUUCCCUGUCUGAGUUCAAAAUAAAUAUGACAACUGCUGGUUUAAAAAAACCUUUGUCAGCAGAUUGGUUCCUGUAAUAUUGCCUUCAAUUAAUUAAGCAUCAGUCAUUUAUGAACACUAGGCAAAAUAGCAGCCAAUAAACCAGAAAUCUCUAUUACCACAUUUGUGAUAAACACAUCAGCUGGAUAUUGAGUCUGCUCUUGCUUAAGCUGAAGCAUUACUUACAUUCACUUAACAUCUUGAAACCUCUAAUUGCAGUUUUGCUACUGGCCAGAUUCUCAAUUUUUCUCGCAUUAACAGCUGUACUUUCAAAUGAGUCUUGCUCCAUUUGCAUUUGUGGAGUCUUUCUGACUGCUCUAAGAUUAAUCCCUCCUCAGAUGUCCCUGAGGGGGACACUUCUAUGGGACAGAGAAAAUAUGAAACCAGAGCCCACUUCCAUCAGAGUAGGCAUCUAUGCACCAACAAUAUCCACAAACUGAUUGUCCCUGCAGUAAAUUCAGUUAGAGUGCAAGAUUGCCCUAACUCAAACAAGCAGAUGCUUCUUCAGAAGCAAUGUGGCUCUGCACCCUUUUGUGAUACCACCUGUUCCAACCCAAGCAUGUGGUUCAGGAUUUUGUGAAGUGUUCUGUGGCUGUUAAAAUCUACCAAGUCAAAGAAAAAUAAUAAAACAUGUUCAGGGAGAAGAUCAGAAGAGGGAGGCUGGAGGCUGCAGAUAGUUUUCAUCUCAGCAUCGCAGAUGAAGACAGGAUGGGCAGGCUGAGCUCAGAAUAGCUGCUCAGUAGCAUGAAAGCAAGUGGAAAAUGUUUGAAGCAUAAGAGCAUCUUCUGGCUCACAGAUUGGGAAACUAAUUUGGGGGAAAAAAAAAAUAAAAAGACACUUCUACUCUUCCAACUGUGUUUCCAUACUGUCCAGCAGCACUGGGGAGGGCUCCUGACCCUCCUCACCUGGAUGGGCUGGUGGAGCUGUGCCUUUGCUGGGAGAUGUCUCUGUAGAUAUCAGCUUUUGAAGAUGUGAUUAGGCAGCCCAUCUGCUCAGUUUGGGCAAGAAAUUUAGAAUUUCCUUGCAUUUUUAGAAAAAUUCUUCACUCCUCCCUUUGCUUAGUACAUUAGGAAGGGUCUCUGUGUUGGCUCUGACAGCCAAGCAUUAAGUUAACACUCUCCUGUAAAGCAAGGCCAGACUAUGAGCCCUGACUGCACUGGGAACAUGAAACUGGGUUAACAUGUACAGAUAAGCCAUUCCAAUGUAAACAAACAGCAGAAAGGCAGCAGAGACCAAGCAAGGAAAAAAUGAGUGUUUGGGUGCUCUUUUUGAACUGAACUUCAGUUCAGAACUUAAUGUUCCUUGUCAAUCUCUGAGGGACAUUCCACCUUCAGCUGACCAGGAGUGUAGAGAGCAAGUUCCUUGGGUGUGGGGCUCCUUCCUUCCCAUCCAGCAACUGAGAGUUCUGGCCAUAUAGAAGACUGCAAAGAAAAUAUUCUCCAUUGACCUUUUGGAUGACCUUGGUUGCCUUCCCCUCCCAGCUAUUCCACUUUUAGUUUUGUCAGCACUUACAGGAGGACAUGGCCUUUUGUGCAGUGCCAGGCCUUGAUGUGAAUAAUAAUAAAGAAGCAACUGGAAGGUUGUUUAGGAGGAGAGAAGAGCAAGAUGCAAUUACAAAACCCUUCUGCUAGUAAUAAUGGCUCAUCCCUGGGGAUCCCUGGGGUGGAUGUCAUCUGCUUGCCAAAAGGAGAAAGCCCAGUAGAACUUUGCCAUUUUCCCUAAAAAAGACAGUCCUCGGUGGACAUAAAAAGCCAUUUAUUUCCUUUACAUUGAAUAUUAUUAAAUAUUUGGUUAAGGCUUGCAAAUGUUUUUACACUGGCAUGGUAUCUUCUUAUAACAGUCAUCCCUGUGUUUUCCCAAAAGGUCUUUGUAGCCCCCUACUGUACUGGCUGUGUGAGCUCUUGGAGGGAUCUGAACUUCUGUCUUCAGAUUUACAACAGAUGUGUAUUCUUGAUAUCUGUAACAAGAAUAAAACAAAUUCAAGUACCACCAAGCAAGGCAGAAGAAUAAAAUUUAUUAACAUUAGAAAAGAAGACGUGACAUAUGCCCAGAUGGAGAGGAUAGGAGAUGUUAUAUAUUCUAUUAUAAGGAUAUACCACUUCUAUUCUGUGGUAGAAGUGAGAGGAAUCUCGUAAGGACAAAAUUAGAUUGAUAAAUAAGGCCAAAGAGACGUUCUUAAAUUAUUUAUCAUCCUUUAUGCUUAUGUGGGUAUGCAUUUACAGGCAUAUCUUAGUUGGCAAACAAUGAUGUAGGUAAGGCUGGGGUAGGCAUUUGGAAGACAGUAAUCUAAGAGCAAAAUCCAUAUUAAACCUCUUCAGACAUUGAGAUAAAAGAUCUCUCUGCAAUGGUUAUUACAAAAGAACCCGCUGACUGGUUCUCCAAGAGAAGUCAAUCGAGUUGGGGAAACCGUGAUCUUGCAUUUGUAUUGAAAGCUUUUAAUUUAUGCAGGCCCUGCAUCCACUGCCCCUUCAUACUGCAAACAGUGAGAUGUGGCUGAGACUUCAGCUGUAAAACAGCUUCAAAUACAAAAGAAAGUCUUCAACAUUGUAGGAAAGCAGAUACUCUGAGUGAUGGAAAGGAGAGGGGAUGACACCGAGAGGCUGAAGGAGCGAGCUACGAAGUCUUUUAUACCUCUUUUUCUGACUGCAUUUGUCCUGUUCUCUGUUUUCCUACCUACCAAGGGGCAAGGUGCUCAUGUGGGGAAUAGACAGUAAAGGAAGUUCUUGGAAGUGAGGCUGUGAAGCAUUCUACAAAGGGAGAGAGCAGUGACCGAGCUCCUGAGCAUUGCAGAGAUGCUCACAUGCAGUGGCACAUGUCAUUGCCCUAGCCCUGGUGUGAAUUGGCCUCACUUUUACACUGAUCAGGCCACUCCAGAGCAGGAGCUUAAGGUGAAAUGCUGGAGAUCUCUGAUGACACUAGCAAGGGAGAGCUGGUGACAGCGGGAAGAUUUCCAUCUAAAAAGAUUUACUGUAGGAUCAGCUCAAGGGCAAACUUGCAAUCAUUUCUGGUGGCAGUUCUGGUAUGACAUUUUGCUUAAGUUUUUUUUUCUUCUCCUUAGAACCACUCAUACAUUGGUAGGCAAUUCCUACACAACAGCAUUCCUGCAUGCCCAGCAGCAGCUCUGCAAGAUACCUGAGAACCUUCACAGCUGUGAGUUGGCCAGAUUAGCUUUUCUCCCCAGUUUUAUGUUUUGCCACCAAACACACUCCUCCAGUCCACUCUUGCCAGCAAACUGGCAUCACAGACAGGGAACUGCUGGGUGAACAUGGGUUGUGAGACUGGCAUGUCACUAGCUGGCUAAUUUGGAGAGAGUUUUGGUCUAAUAAUGAUCCAUAGCUAAAAAAUUAGUUGGCACUACAUGUGUGUAACAUUUCCUGAGUACGUAUGAUGGCAAAUAUUUUGGUGUCUUGCAGAACAAUUCUUCUUUAAAAAUUACACAAGCCCUAAAUCCUGCUUGUCUGUGCUGAGGGCAUCUGAGAAGGUAAAGGGCAGUCUUGCCUUCCUGCCCCACAUCUUUGAAGGCAACACACACCACUGAGAUUCCUAGUGCAAUGCAGUGUGAGCAAGGGGGAUUAAAGAUCCAUCUCCAGCCUGCCACACUUAUUUCCUUGUGCUAAUGGUGGGACACCUGGGAGGCCUCGUUAAGGAGUUCCACAAUAGUUCCAGGGAAGUCCAAACCUGACAUGCAUCUCUCCCAAUCUGUAAGGAUAAACAGCACGUACAGGGCUGGUUCUGAGGCACUGAACCCUCGUGCCCAAGUUUGGCACUGAAACAAGACAGAAGAGCUGCACUUGUGUACAACAGGGUCUUGUUUCUCUUACACUUUGUGUAACUGUUUCCACCAGUGUUACACGAGGGUUGUCAGCCUGAUGGGCAGGUGUUAUUCUUGCCACAUGCAUGGUGCAUUUUUGCACACGCGUCAACAGCUUCCUAAAGGGUGCUACGAUUCAGCAAUGGCCACGGAGGGUUUUGCUGCUUCUGUUCUAAAUGCUGAAUUAGCUGGACUAAAUCAUGCAUGACCUGGCUGGCCCAAAAAUCUUCAGCUGCAUAUUUUUCUAGCUGAAAUACCUAUCUGAAAUUUCUAUCUGAAAUUUCAAGUACUCUUGAAACCAAAAACAUUUUUGAAACAAUGUCCACCGUGCCCCUAAUUUCAUUUUGAAGGAUUGAAGGAUAAGGGCAGGUUCCCACUGUUUCAUUUUGACAUGCCCCUAACAAAAUGUUCCUGUUUUUUUGUAUUAAAAGGGUCAUACUAGGUAGUCUUUCAAAAUUUUUCCAAAAAUAUUUUUCUGUCACAUUAUACUUCAGAUUAGAAAAUAAAGGAGGAAAAAAAACCAAAGUCACUUUAAGAGGAAUUUUUUCCUGUAUUCAAACUUUAGGGAAGGAAAAUCACAGCAAAAGAAACUCACCCAGCUGGUUGAGGACACAGCCCAGUGCCCCUGCAGACAAAUUUACCCACCAGGAGGAUGCUCUGGCUCUCGUUAAUGCAGUUUUACACUGAAGACCAAGCCACUGUAUCGAUGGGACAAGUGAUCCUGGCUUCCAGUUUUCCAAGACAGUCUAGUUUGUAAAAAAUUGUGCAGUUCAUUAAGAAGAAAGAUGUUGUUAGCAGUAUUUCAUUAUGCAAUUCCAUCUCUUUGACAGAAUCUGUGACUUAAAUAUAAAUCACUUUUUUCCUAACCAUUUUCCAGGAUGAUUUCUUAGAGCAGAUUUUAAUACAUUAAACAAAUACAUUAACAAAUACAUUAACAAAUUCAGUGCCAAGUAGAUGCAACAUGCAUUCAUGUGCAUUUUCCCCCCUAAAAUUCACAGUUCAGUUUGUUCAUGUUCUUGACUCUUCGAGUAAGGUUUUAUUCACAGAUAAGCACAAAACAUCCCCCAAAAGAGAUUUCACCAUGUAGACUUUUGCAUCCAGAUGACAAACCCACUUCUCUUUAGGAGUGGGUGGAAUAUGUGGCAAUAAACAUUCUUACAGUUUUGUUUCUUUUUUAACUAACCUUAAUUUUCCUGUCCAUGACUGAUUUCCCAACUGAAUGUAGAAAACACUGGUCACCCAGUUGGUGCACAACAGAUUUGUCAUGGUAAAUGGCAUAGAAAUUUGGGACACCAGCAGAGAAAUGCAAACAUUUUUGAAGAUUUACAAAUGUCUCUCCACUCUUUUCUAUCCCCAGGCUUCAAGAUUAGCACAAGCAUUAGGCUUUAGGUACAUACCCCAAAAUAAAUUUCACAAGCUUGACAAGCUUAAGAACUCCCCUGGUCUCAUAAAGCAUUUCAUUUUUGGUUUUGGGAAUUCCAUUAAAGAAAAGGGUGGGGUUUUUUUUAUACUCCUAAAAGAAUAAACCCUGCAUCCUUAUGACUUUUACCAUCUUCUUUCCUUAAUUAUCAGAUUUUAGAAGUGGGAGAAGGAGGACAUCCUUGAAAGGAAAUUUGUCUUAUAUAAAUGUCAAAUUCUGUAAUUACAUAUGAUCCAUGGUUUUUUCAUCACAAUAUUCACCUCAAAAGGCAAGUUAAAACAGAUCAUUUGUCACUACUUAACAGAUCUGAACAAAGCUCCUUUAGGAACUAUUCUGAUACUUCUGUUGUGGAAAACCUGAUUGCAUUUUAAAAUAGUAAAAAUAACAAA
Non-coding RNA from Taeniopygia guttata (zebra finch), 10133 nucleotides. NCBI's taxonomy places the organism in Eukaryota, Metazoa, Chordata, Aves, Passeriformes, Estrildidae. The record is from RefSeq and is a predicted model, not a curated record.